UCAAGGUUUUUGUAGUUUUUUUUAAUUUUCUGAUAAUUGUUUUAUUUGUAUUUUGUGUCGGUUGGUUCGCUCAUGGGCCCCACUAGGCUGUUACUGAGUUGUUAUGGUUUGUUUCUCUGUUAGGCUUGUAUCGGGCCUCCUGCCUUUUUAAUAAAAGUGUUCUGUGAGUUUGUUAGAUCCCAAUUCCACUUCACUCUUCACUCAAACUGUUCCUCUUCUAUCCCUCUCAAAAGUUGAUCUCUUCUUUCACUCAAAGAGUUCCUCUUCGUAUCUUCUUCAAUUUCUCAGAGUUGUUCAAUCCUCUCAAAAUCUUUUAGAUGGCUGUAGAAAUUGAUAUCGAUGUCGAUUUGAUUUUGCCGAAGCAUUUGACAGUCGGAAGUGUAGAGUUCAUCAAUGACUGGAAAAGGAGACUGAAGAUUGAUCCUGAUUGUGUUGUAGUCCUCGUUGACGAUUCUUUUAUUAAAUGGACUAUACAGCACAAGAAAGAACCGGUUCCCUUGAUUCAAGCACUUAUCGGCGUUGCUAAGGUUUCGUUAAAAACAACAAAGUGUACCAUAGAAAGUAUUUCUUCGAGGUUCUGGAAGCACCAUCGAAACUCUCAGAUUGCAGACAACAUGGUUUGUAUACCACGUGUUUGCAAUCACCCUCCGCACUAUCUCAGUGCGGAGGCGUGCAUGAGAGAGGUGCUGUCUCUUCCAAAGUAUAACAAAUAUUUUUUCGCAACCCUUAGGAAGGAAGUCUAUGAAAGCGCAGCAGUGAGAAAUGCUCGGUUUAAGCCAGUCAUAACCGUGAUAGAUGGUGCCAUGGUUAUUAAUGAGGUUAACCUCUUCAGAAAGCAUGGCGUUGUUGUUAGACAACGUGUUAAAGACGAGAAGAUCUUGCAGUUUGUUGAUGACAAGCCUUCUAAGCAGUUGAAGUUUGUGAGAGAAUGUUUUGGUCUGUUUGGAACCGCAUACGUGUUGUGCGACGCUUCCUUUUUGGUUUGGGCUGUGGAUGAAGACAUUGAACCCAUAGUUAUUAAAGGCGCUAGGCGCACUCAAGGUGCUUAGGCUCCGCCUAGGGACUAGGCGAAAGGCGCAAAAAAAGCGUGGGCCCGAGAAAAAAAAAGCGCACUAACAUAUAAAAAUUUAAAAUACAUUAUGUAAUGGAAAAUAACAUCUUUUUCACAUACCAAAAUAUUCUAAUACCAUAAUCUUCAACAAAAAAGUACCAAAUCGGAUGUUUGACAACACAAGAUUUCAAUCAAUAAAAAAAACAAACAAACUUUAUAAGUUGGUAAAACAGAGAACUAAAGGUCAACCUAGUUAUCUCUAUACAGAAAUUAAUUGAGAAAUACUAAGUUUGAUAAGAAAAACUUUAUAUGCAGAAUUAAAAUGAAAACAAAAACACUACAUUGUGAAUGCAAAAUCAGAACUAAAUCAGAAAUAACCAGCUGGCAAAAACAAUAUCAAAUCAGAAAUACACUGCAGAAUAUGAGGAGUUUACAAAUUAUAAAAAUAAUAUCCCUAUUUAUCAGGAACAUGUAGAAUUAAAUCAUAAAUAUACUAAUUUGGAUUUGAAGAAUUCGAACUGAGAUCUGGAUUAUUAGAGAUAUAAUCGGCUGGAAAUCCCUAUAAAUACUCCAGAACAUCAGGAAUCUACGAAUUAAAAAAAUGUUUAUCAGCAAUUCAGUAUUAAUUGCGCUAAAAUUACCUAGGAAUAAGGAGCGCAAUGAAUGCGCUUUGCUCAAAAAAUUCGCCUAGGCGCCAAAAGCGUGCGCUUUUAAUAACUAUGAUUGAACCUAUAAAUGUCUUAUGUGGGUGUCUUCGUGUCUACAACAUCGUACUCUUGACUACUGAAGGCGUGUUGGAUGAAAUCAGAGUUUGUAUCAAGGACAAAUGGAGUCCGGUUUGCCACAGCGUUUUAAACAUGUUAUCUUCUUGCUAUCAUGGGGAUGAUCUAGAGGAUCGUCAAGCAGUUCCCAUCAUUAUUGACAGAAUAGAGUGUGUCAAGCAGGUGUUGAAAGACUCGUUUCAUGAUAACUUCAUUCUCGCAACGUUUGAACAAGACGCUUAUGAGGAUAUAACAAAUACUCGUGCAACACCGUUCAUAUCAAUGGAUGACAGCGUGAUUCGUGUUUUGCCAAUUCCAGACGAUCAAAGGGCAUUUUUUGAAGAGUUUAAAAGAAAUAUGAUUCUUUAGUGAUGAUCAUCAGGGGACUGGUUUUUAAAUACAGAGAAGAAGGCUUGACUAUGCUGUUGAUGUUUUUGAAGAGACAGACGAAGAAGGCUUGACAUUAAUGUUGAUGUUUUUGAACAAAUUGUUACGUUUCUUGAGAGUUGCCUACCCUUAAAUACGUAGCUUAACUAAAACCAGAAUUUAGAUACAUAGCUGAACAUAUUGAAGAAACACACGAUCCCCUUAUAUUCCUAUCCUAUAUAGAAAUUGCUCUUUUAAGUGCUA
Molecule: long non-coding RNA, 2442 nt
Organism: Helianthus annuus (common sunflower)
Lineage: Eukaryota; Viridiplantae; Streptophyta; Magnoliopsida; Asterales; Asteraceae
Exons: 6
Source: RefSeq, a predicted model, not a curated record